GGGCCCGUAGCUCAGCUUGGACAGAGCACUCGGCUUCUAACCGAGUUGUCGAGGGUUCAAAUCCCUCCGGGUCCG
This 75-nucleotide transfer RNA is filed under the name Nanohaloarchaea archaeon H01. RNAcentral describes it as "tRNA-Arg". It matches the Rfam family "tRNA". Rfam says of the family: Transfer RNA (tRNA) molecules are approximately 80 nucleotides in length. Their secondary structure includes four short double-helical elements and three loops (D, anti-codon, and T loops). The record is from RNAcentral. Lineage: Archaea; Methanobacteriati; Methanobacteriota; Candidatus Nanohaloarchaea.